CCCGGCAGCUCAAGUGGUGGCCAUUCUUCUUUCGCCUCCCGCGUUCGUAGCCGGUUUGAUAAGUCUCUGGUGAAAUCCCGCAGCUUAACUGUGGGACUUGCUGGAGAUACUAUUAGACUUGAGGUCGGGAGAGGUUAGGGGUACUCCCAGGGUAGGGGUGAAAUCCUAUAAUCCUGGGAGGACCACCUGUGGCGAAGGCGCCUAACUGGAACGAACCUGACGGUGAGUAACGAAAGCCAGGGGCGCGAACCG
RNAcentral lists this ribosomal RNA (252 nucleotides) under uncultured prokaryote. RNAcentral's name for it is "partial 16S rRNA". It matches the Rfam family "Archaeal small subunit ribosomal RNA", at positions 475 to 726 of the family's 1478-position model. The record is from RNAcentral.